This 75-nucleotide transfer RNA is filed under the name Fibrella aquatilis. Its description in RNAcentral is "tRNA-Val". The record is from RNAcentral. Lineage: Bacteria; Pseudomonadati; Bacteroidota; Cytophagia; Cytophagales; Spirosomataceae.
AGGAUGUUAGCUCAGUUGGUUCAGAGCGCCGCUUUGACAGAGCGGAGGUCAGCAGUUCGAGCCUGCUACGUCCUA